UAAUUCCAGGACCCGAAGUGGAUAUCCUGCUAACGCUGCAGCUGUCUAAGAGGAUUUCAUCCACGGUUUCAAAGAUGAAUAUUAAAACCCAAAGGCAGAGUGGAGUUAAAAUUUUAACAUGAAGAUGUCAAAUUUGCUUCGGCCAAGCCACCAGAUCAUCCCCCGUGUGGUUAUAGACCUUCUGUCAAGUUAUCCUCCAUCAUGCGACCAGUGAGUUGAUAAUAAACUAAAUAAACUAAAACUCAAACCUGA
Macaca mulatta (Rhesus monkey) is the source of this 252-nucleotide non-coding RNA. The record is from RefSeq and is a predicted model, not a curated record. Lineage: Eukaryota; Metazoa; Chordata; Mammalia; Primates; Cercopithecidae.